GUAGGUCCCGAGCGUUGUCCGGAUUUAUUGGGCGUAAAGCGAGCGCAGGCGGUUUGAUAAGUCUGAAGUUAAAGGCUGUGGCUCAACCAUAGUUCGCUUUGGAAACUGUCAAACUUGAGUGCAGAAGGGGAGAGUGGAAUUCCAUGUGUAGCGGUGAAAUGCGUAGAUAUAUGGAGGAACACCGGUGGCGAAAGCGGCUCUCUGGUCUGUAACUGACGCUGAGGCUCGAAAGCGUGGGGAGCGAACAGGAUUAGAUACCCUGGUAGUCCACGCCGUAAACGAUGAGUGCUAGGUGUUGGAUCCUUUCCGGGAUUCAGUGCCGCAGCUAACGCAUUAAGCACUCCGCCUGGGGAGU
RNAcentral lists this ribosomal RNA (355 nucleotides) under uncultured bacterium. RNAcentral's name for it is "bacterial SSU rRNA". It matches the Rfam family "Bacterial small subunit ribosomal RNA", at positions 527 to 881 of the family's 1533-position model. The record is from RNAcentral.